RNAcentral lists this ribosomal RNA (389 nucleotides) under Urodexia uramyoides. RNAcentral describes it as "partial 16S rRNA". Lineage: Eukaryota; Metazoa; Arthropoda; Insecta; Diptera; Tachinidae. The record is from RNAcentral.
GGCCGCAGUAUUUUAACUGUGCAAAGGUAGCAUAAUCAUUAGUCUUUUAAUUGAAGGCUGGAAUGAAUGAUUGGAUGAGAUAUCUACUGUUUCAUAAAAAUUUUUUAUAGAAUUUUAUUUUUUAGUGAAAAAGCUAAAAUUUAUUUAAAAGACAAGAAGACCCUAUAAAUCUUUAUAUUUAAAUUUAUUAUAAAAUUAUAUUAUAAAAAUUUAAAUAUUUUAUUGGGGUGAUAUAAAAAUUUAAUUAACUUUUUAUAUAAAUUUACAUUAAUUUAUGAUUAAUUGAUCCAUUAAUAAUGAUUAUAAAAUUAAGUUACUUUAGGGAUAACAGCGUAAUUUUUUUGAAGAGUUCUUAUUAAUAAAAAAGAUUGCGACCUCGAUGUUGGAUU